CCCAUUUGAACCAUGUGUAUUAUCAUAAUUAUGUGCCAUUUUAUUUUGCAAACUCAAAUCUGAUUUAUUUUCAAUAACUUUUAGACUUUUUGGUGGUGCAAGUACCAAUGAUUGCUCCUCUGAAAUCAUACCGUUAUCCAUGUCAUGGUUCAUGUUUUGGGCAACACACAAUGGGUUUAGUUGAAUGGCUACCUUCUCAUUUCUCUCAACAAGUAUGGUGUUGUCUUGAGCAUCCAUCUCUUCCCUAUUCUCAUCACCAACCUGCACAUUUGGAAAGACAAAACUAGAAGUAGUGAUGAGAGUGUUAGUUUCAAAGAUAUCCUCACUUGGCCUGCAUUCUAAAUAUCUACCGACAUUAUAUAAUCAUAACUAAAAAGAAAACUAAUGAUGAUACUCAAUUUAUUAGAUAAUUUAAGAACCAUGCAGUCAUCUUCUUAUUUCCAAACAAAAAAUUGGAGAACAUGUAAAUAGAUGGAAAUUAAUUGAAAAAAGUUUUUUUUACCCGAAUAAUUGAAAAAAGUAGCUCUAGAAUUUAUAUGUAGACAAUUAGACAUUAAUCAGUUUUGAUUUGGGACCAUAUAUAUGUCCUAGGUCCGUUUCACGUACCGUUUAUAGCCGCACAUUUGGGAAUGUGACUUCCUUGGAACAGCUGACGAGCUGUAGAUAGAGGGAGAGGUAAACACCAUGGAACUCUCUUCGUCUCCAUGUGGGUAGCAGCGUACUCUCCAUAAUUGAAGCUUAAUGUGAAUCAAAACGACCUAGUAAAUUUGGAUCUCAGUGCAAUGGAUAGACCUUAGUACUGCGCAAAUCCACUGUCCAAUUUCACUUAUAAGGAGAUGAUAGGACAAAAACGAACCCAUCACCCUUAGAUUGGUCCAGUUUUUAAGGGAAAAAACGAACCCACCCUUACAAUUUUAUUUAUUCACCCCGAUAGCAAGGCCUUACAGUAGAUAAUAUUGAAUGAGGAUGGUAACCAAAAUGUGGCAUGCUAGGUAACCACUCUUAGUUUAGCAUGCAAAGUAAUACAAGGGAUAACAUGUUCUAAAGGGCCCCCCAAUUUUGAGUCUUGCCUAUCUUCCACUUUAGCACUAGCUGAAAUGCAGUGACACAUCCAAAAAAAAAUUGUCAGGUUUUUGCAUAGAAAUAUAUCAUAGUGGAUAACUUAUCAGCUCGCAGGUCAUCACAAACGACACAUUGACAGUUCACAAAUGACACAUUGAUAACUCAUACUACUUAGCCUUGCGCAAAUGCAAUGCAACAUCCAAGUGCAGGUGCACAAUGCACACCAGUCAUCACAUAUAGAUUACGCGAACAUUGAAAAAUACAUCAUAGAACAUUACACAUAUACAACGUGAACAUAAAAAAACACAUAUAUAACACAUGAACAUAAAAAAAGCACAUAUAAACUAUAUAAAAUAUUAAAAAUCCAACAUAGAACAUAAAAAAAGAAAAAAGAAAAGAAAUAAAAGAAAAGAAAAAAAUAUAACAAUGAAAAUAAUUGUAAACAAAUAAGAAAGCAGUAGAAAAAUAUAAAAGGUAUAGAAUAUGAAAAAAGAAAAAGAAAAAAGAAAAGAAAAAAUACCAAGAAAAGAAUAUAAAAAAAUAUCAAGAAAAGAAAACUAAACAACAGCGAUCAGGAGGGGAACAGAAAAGAAAAACAAAAAAAACAAAAUAAGAAAAAAAGAAUAAAAUAAAAUAAAAAGAAAACAUACGUACUUACCUGAGAAACCCGUCGUCCGUGCUCGUGGCAUAGCUAUCCGAGAAAGCUUUUCAAAAGAGGCUAUUAAAAUGCUGAAAAUAAAAUAACUUUUGUAAAAAAAACUUGAAUGUGAUGUUUAUGCUUGAAGAGAUUGAGAAGGAAGGGUUUGUUGUUCAGGAAGAGUAUAAGAAAACACAGGAGGUAGCAUUCAAAAAUAUUCAGCACAUAGGGUAAAAGUUUUAGGGUUUAGGGUUAACCAAGGGCAUUGGAGUCCAAGAAAGAUAGUGAAAAACUUUUCCAUGCAAUGUAAUUGGUAAAAUUGUAGGCGGGGCGGGCUCUUAACGAGACCCGCACGUUCGCCUCGCAAGGUUUCCCUUCGUGGUUGUAGUGGCCUGACAGUAGUUUUUUGUGGCCCA
RNAcentral lists this long non-coding RNA (2115 nucleotides) under Sorghum bicolor (sorghum). Its description in RNAcentral is "long non-coding RNA (SBIC_LNC018662)". Lineage: Eukaryota; Viridiplantae; Streptophyta; Magnoliopsida; Poales; Poaceae. The record is from RNAcentral.